UGCAUGGAGAAUUGAAACAAUACUAUAUCAUUUUGGUUAUGAAUGAAAGUUAAAUUGUUCUGACUCUACAACUUGGAAUAAAGUCUUUUAGAUCAAAGAGAAACAACAAUUGUGGGCUUAGUUCCGUUCUUCAAAGAGCAUGGCAAUCCAAAUUACAUGGGAAACCUCAGCAUUACCGUCAGCGUUAAGUCUGGCACAUAUGCAUAUUCACCCGUUUAUGCGACUGACAAUCUUCCAAUCUACCAACUAUCAAUCUCCCUUCCGGUAAAGUUUAUGCCAGUGUAAUAUGCUUGGGUUGGGAAUAUGUGUCACACAGCAAGACUGAAAUUAUAUAUAUACAUGUAUAGUGGAAGAUACAGUCGCACUGUAGUCUGAUCAUAAAAGAAAAAGAAUAACAAAAUAUCGAGGGCGUGUGAUGCUGCUUUUCUCUAAUAAUAGGUAAAGGGGUAUGUGAUAAUUCACUCAGGAUUUUCAUGACCAUUGCUGGCGAAUUGCUGGCGGAUUGAUUGACGGUCAGUCGAUGGGGACGUAUAGUCAAUCAUUGGUUCAUGGCCGAUCGAUCAUUGAUCGAUAUUCAAUCUAUCGAAUCACCAUUCACUGUAACACUCAACUAACUGCUCAGCUCAAUCCUCGUAUCGACGGAUCUAUUAGGGAUGACAAACAUGAAUAACUUUUCUAUUUUCGUAUUCAAAUUUAUAAACAUUACUGGCGUUGGAUGGAGCUCGCAACUCUUUUUAAAAAUUCUACGGAAAUUAUCAAUAAUCGUCUAUAAGAUUAAGUGAUAAACAUUAUGUAAUUUUAUACAUAUGAUAAUAUAAUGCUCUGUAUAUUUGGAAAAAUACUUCCUCCCCUUGUAAUAUGAUUUUGAAGAUUCAUGAUUAAAAAGUAACAAUCCAUUGGCAAAGCAAUAUUUGGAAAAUACAUUUUGGGUAAAAUGAUACUGAGUCACAUAUUCAUUAGAAUAUUAUUAUCUUAUUUUUAUAAUUGGAUUAUAUAGUUGAUACACGUUACUCUCUGCAGAGCAAAAGUACUCAAAUAAUAACAGAUGAAUCUAUUUCAUUGCAUCACAAACGCGACGUUCAGUAACGUACUGAACAUUUGUGUCGUAGGGUGCGACGUAAGUGUAUACGAUUUUGCUCAGAGAAGUUGGUUUCCCUUGAAACGUCGUGAAACCGGCCGUAGUAGACAGCCAGCAUCAAAUUAUUGCAAACAAUUACGUUUAAUGGGAAGGUUAAUGGCUAUGGUCGACCAGUUGGUAGAACGAAGGAGAAUAGGUAAUGGUACGAAGAGUGUGAACGUUGAUGCAAAUGUGCUGACGUCGAGUAAUUAGCAAACACGGGUGGCAACCAAGUUCUUAUUAUAUUAGGUAGAUUUUCCCAAGAAGGAAGAUUAUCCUGUGCAUUAAUUGCAGUUGAAUAAUAUUGACUCAUUCUUUCCCAAGAUCUGCUCAGGUUUGAAGUUAUCGACAUGACUAAUGGAAAGUUUUGAGAUCGUUGAAUUCAAAUUUGCUCUUAGCGAUCCACUAAUGGUAUCUGAUUUCGAUCAACCCGCAAUGUGGAAGCUAUGUGCGAAGUUAGUAUUAGUUAACGAAAACUCCUUCCAUGAGCCAUUUUAUGGAGAUAAGCAGAUAUUGUCCAGUUUUUUCCUGAAUCAUUGUUCCAGAUGCACCCAAACAUACUAGUCUCACUGGCAUGCAUACCUGGAAUAUUCACAGCUCAUCAAUUGGCACAACAUGGAUGAUAAAUGGCUUCACACCUUUGCCACUUGAGGCAUCCCAGAAUGGGCACGAGUCAAUAUAUUCAUAUCAUGCUGAUGGAACAAACUGAAGGUGCAUACAGAUCUUUUAUCCUAAAGUUGAUUUACAAUUAAUGAUGGUUUGAACAUCAUUUCUAUAAUUACAAUGACAUACAAAUGGUUUGCUUGUAUUGGUUAGUCGUAUGUCGUCAUAAAUAGUCAGGGAAAAAAAUAUGCUUGAAUGAAGUACAUUCUUUGAUGAUGAUUAGAAAAAAAUUAUUUUUACAUGAAUCUAUUAUCUACUGUAAAAAUAGUGACCAUAGUAAAUACUGUAAAAACGUGUGGAAUGUGUGAAAUCAAUAAAGAAUGAAUGAGUGAGUGCUUUGUUGUAUUGGAUAUUUGUGCACGUGUGAAAGAACAUGACUCUAGUGGACAUUAAGGUUUGUUGAGACGUUAAGAUUUUAAGGUAAUUUAUGUGUUUUGUUUAAUGUAAGGAAUGCAAGGGAAAGGAGGCGUGAGUGUCGAGCAUGACAGGUUUAUUAUAGUUGUGUUUCGCGUUCUAAGGAUUUUUUCUAGAAUAGUGGUGAGUGUUGUCCGGCCAUGUGGGGUUACUCAUGGGACAGACCCUGCAUUGUUGAAGGACUCAGGGAAGGAAACGCGUAAUGAAAGAAAGGGACAGAAGACAGUGCAUUUUCGGGUGUGAGCUGCGGAAUGAGUUAGUUUAAGUUGUGACUUGACCGCGGACGCGUGAGGAUACUCUUCUCAUCCUCCUAUUUAAUUUUGAUUGUAUUUUACCUUUAUAAUAUACUGUUCCUUCAUAAAAUAAACUUAAUCAUUUAUCUUUUCAUUUGAUAUUGAUCCUACAAACGUUUAUCUUCAAUAUGUGUUUUCAAUCAUUAGUUAGGGUUUGUCAGGAUCAUGGACCAUUAACGAAAUAUGCUGGAGGACUAUUUAUGAAUGUUGGUGUUUAACGCACAUUGCACUAAGAACAGCCUAUUCAGUUAACCAGGAAAUUAGGGAAUCAGUAAAUUGACUCCUAUACAUCCAUCACGGCGACUGUGCGAUCAAUGGCGUGGCUCGGUUACACUGUUCUCCGGAACAUCGGCUGUUUUUGCAGGGAGAUGGGCUCCUCUGGUCAUUGGCAAUAAUGACCGUUAUCUACAAUAUGAUUGUCUACAGGGAUAAGAGAAUCGAAAAGAAAAAACACUAAAAAAUAUGAGGCUGUACACUUAAGCUGCCGCAUAUCGAAACCGUCAUAUCAACUUCUCAAACGAGACGGGUUAUUGAUGGACGAGAAAAGAGUACUGCUACGGGGAGAGUGGAAAGGAUUAUAAAUAAAGUAUACAUUGAAGAACUUUUCGAAAAAGCUGGGUACAUUCAUCGUGCAGGUAAAUCACCUAUAAAUAAAUGACAUACCGCACUCACCAACUACAUCGCAAUGAUUUAGACUUUUUUAGAUUAUAGAGAUGUUGAUUAAUUGUGUUUAUAUUUAUAUCCGUUGCCAUGGAUGAAAGUGGCUCGAAUGAUAGAUUAAGAUUGAAAUUGAAUUUUGAUCAAGCACCUGUAUAGAAAUGCUCGUUAAAAUUGAAUACACACAAUACUCCAAUUCAUCACAAGGAAAUCUCGACAUUCUAACACAAAUUGAACAUUUCGGCAUAAAAACUAUUCAAAAUAAUCAAUUUAAAUAGCUGCUUCUUUCUUUAUAAAUUUAUUUACGCGAUCAUUAUUAUAAUUUUACUUAAAAUUGAAAGGAAUAAGG
Long non-coding RNA from Diachasmimorpha longicaudata, 3493 nucleotides. RefSeq lists it as uncharacterized. The transcript is spliced from 3 exons. Lineage: Eukaryota; Metazoa; Arthropoda; Insecta; Hymenoptera; Braconidae. The record is from RefSeq and is a predicted model, not a curated record.